GAUGAACGCUGGCGGCGUGCUUAACACAUGCAAGUCGAACGGAAAGGCUCCUGCUUGCAGGGGUACUCGAGUGGCGAACGGGUGAGUAACACGUGGGUGAUCUGCCCUGCACUUCGGGAUAAGCCUGGGAAACUGGGUCUAAUACCGGAUAGGACGAUGGUUUGGAUGCCAUUGUGGAAAGUUUUUUUGGUGUGGGAUGAGCUCGCGGCCUAUCAGCUUGUUGGUGGGGUAAUGGCCUACCAAGGCGUCGACGGGUAGCCGGCCUGAGAGGGUGUACGGCCACAUUGGGACUGAGAUACGUCCCAGACUCCUACGGGAGGCAGCAGUGGGGAAUAUGGCACAAUGGGCGCAAGCCUGAUGCAGCGACGCCGCGUGGGUGAUGACGGCCUGCGGGUUGUAAACUCCUUUCGCUAGGGACGAAGCGCAAGUGACGGUACCUGGAGAAGAAGCACCGGCUAACUACGUG
Molecule: ribosomal RNA, 466 nt
Filed under: uncultured bacterium
Lineage: Bacteria
Description: partial 16S ribosomal RNA
Rfam family: Bacterial small subunit ribosomal RNA
Source: RNAcentral